Molecule: ribosomal RNA, 924 nt
Filed under: uncultured bacterium
Lineage: Bacteria
Description: bacterial SSU rRNA
Rfam family: Bacterial small subunit ribosomal RNA
Source: RNAcentral
UCGCCCUUAGAGUUUGAUCCUGGCUCAGGAUGAACGCUAGCUACAGGCUUAACACAUGCAAGUCGAGGGGCAGCGGGAUUGAAGCUUGCUUCAAUUGCCGGCGACCGGCGCACGGGUGAGUAACGCGUAUCCAACCUUCCGUACACUCAGGGAUAGCCUUUCGAAAGAAAGAUUAAUACCUGAUGGUAUGAUGAGAUUGCAUGAUAGCAUCAUUAAAGAUUUAUCGGUGUACGAUGGGGAUGCGUUCCAUUAGGUAGUAGGCGGGGUAACGGCCCACCUAGCCAACGAUGGAUAGGGGUUCUGAGAGGAAGGUCCCCCACAUUGGAACUGAGACACGGUCCAAACUCCUACGGGAGGCAGCAGUGAGGAAUAUUGGUCAAUGGACGAGAGUCUGAACCAGCCAAGUAGCGUGAAGGAUGAAGGUCCUACGGAUUGUAAACUUCUUUUAUAAGGGAAUAAACCCUCCCACGUGUGGGAGCUUGUAUGUACCUUAUGAAUAAGCAUCGGCUAACUCCGUGCCAGCAGCCGCGGUAAUACGGAGGAUGCGAGCGUUAUCCGGAUUUAUUGGGUUUAAAGGGAGCGCAGACGGGUCGUUAAGUCAGCUGUGAAAGUUUGGGGCUCAACCUUAAAAUUGCAGUUGAUACUGGCGUCCUUGAGUGCGGUUGAGGUGUGCGGAAUUCGUGGUGUAGCGGUGAAAUGCUUAGAUAUCACGAAGAACUCCGAUUGCGAAGGCAGCACACUAAUCCGUAACUGACGUUCAUGCUCGAAAGUGUGGGUAUCAAACAGGAUUAGAUACCCUGGUAGUCCACACGGUAAACGAUGGAUACUCGCUGUUGGCGAUAUACUGUCAGCGGCUUAGCGAAAGCGUUAAGUAUCCCACCUGGGGAGUACGCCGGCAACGGUGAAACUCAAAGGAAUUGACGG